This 401-nucleotide RNase P RNA is filed under the name Sphingobacteriales bacterium. RNAcentral's name for it is "RNase P RNA component class A". It matches the Rfam family "Bacterial RNase P class A". Rfam says of the family: Ribonuclease P (RNase P) is a ubiquitous endoribonuclease, found in archaea, bacteria and eukarya as well as chloroplasts and mitochondria. Its best characterised activity is the generation of mature 5'-ends of tRNAs by cleaving the 5'-leader elements of precursor-tRNAs. The record is from RNAcentral. Lineage: Bacteria; Pseudomonadati; Bacteroidota; Sphingobacteriia; Sphingobacteriales.
AUUACAAGCCAGGCUAUCGCGGUGUCGCUGAUGCCGAGGAAAGUCCGGACAGCAUAGGGCAGUACACCGGUGAAAAGCCGGGUCUUGCUGAAAAGCAAGAACAGAAAGCGCCACAGAAAAUUACCGCCACGCCUACAGCGGGGUAAGGGUGAAAACGUGAGGUAAGAGCUCACGGCAUUGCAUAGUAAUAUGUUUUGCAGGUAAGCCUUGUAUGCUGAAAUGCCAUGUACACUCCGAUUUUUUGCCUGCCCGGCAAAAUGUAAGCUUACUAUCGGGGAGGGUAGGCAGAUUGAUUGUUGCGGGUAACUGCAUCAACAGAUAAAUGAUAGUCGCUUUAAUUAUUUUCGGUUUUACCGGUAAAUAUUUAAAGAACAAAAUCCGGCUUAAGGCUUGUAAUUUUU